UACGUAGGGUGCGAGCGUUAAUCGGAUUUACUGGGCGUAAAGCGUGCGCAGGCGGCCCGUUAAGACAGGUGUGAAAUCCCUGGGCUCAACCUAGGAAUUGCGCUUGUGACUGGCGGGCUCUAGUACGGUAGAGGGGGGUGGAAUUCCUGGUGUAGCAGUGAAAUGCGUAGAGAUCAGGAGGAACACCGAUGGCGAAGGCAGCCCCCUGGGCCUGUACUGACGCUCAUGCACGAAAGCGUGGGGAGCAAACAGG
This 253-nucleotide ribosomal RNA is filed under the name uncultured microorganism. Its description in RNAcentral is "partial 16S ribosomal RNA". It matches the Rfam family "Bacterial small subunit ribosomal RNA", at positions 524 to 776 of the family's 1533-position model. The record is from RNAcentral.